This 906-nucleotide unclassified non-coding RNA is filed under the name Hevea brasiliensis (rubber tree). The record is from RNAcentral. Lineage: Eukaryota; Viridiplantae; Streptophyta; Magnoliopsida; Malpighiales; Euphorbiaceae.
UGGGCUGUCAUUAUAAUCAAAGUCACGGCCAUGACGAUCCUCGAGUAGAGUGAUACAGCACAAUCUCUCAGUUCCAUAAAUAAUCACCAGCAACAUUGUGAAAAUGGUAACAAAAUUGUAAGAUGCUCUGUUAAUGCAUCAAAAAGUCGAAGAACCAGACCCACAGACAAGUAAAGCAGUAUUUGGUAUCUUCCUAAGCUCCUCAUGUCGAACAAAAACUGAAAACUUCAAAACCUAUUACUAUAAAACACCAAAUACCCCAGCCAGAAUGUCUUUUGAGAGUUGAGAUUUGCUUUCUUCCACUUUAUUUGCAACUGGUUUUGUCUGUGGGAAUUGACGGAUGACCUUCGGUGCUUGCUCACCAACAGAGAGUUGACCUCCUGACUCUUGUUGGACCUUUUGUUUCUUUUUUAAUCGUUCUUCUAUAGAACUCAAAGCACGAGAUUGAUCCACCUUAUUGAGAUAGAAAUCCCGCUCCCUCUUUGCAGCAGAAAUUUCUAGAGCUAAUUUCUGCUCCCGUAUAACACUCUUAUAUGCAAUUUCUUCUGUAAGAUCAUCCCACUUGAAUUUACUCAAGUAUUUGAUAUUCCAAAGGUCAUAAUAGAAUUGUGACCUCUUUCUGCCACCUAUUUGUUCACCAUUUAACAUAUUAGCAACCCUUUUUGCAAUGCUCUUAUUGGUAAAUUCAACCCACCCUUCAGAGAAUUCUUGACCUCGAAAUCCACCAGCUCUUUUGCGAUUUACUCGAGCAGUGGGAUCUUCAGGUGCAAGGUAGAUCCUCUGUAUUUCUCCAUAUUGGGAAAGAAUAUGACGAAGCUUUACAUGAUCCAUGUGGGGAGGGAUUCGACUUAAGUAGCAAACACCACGCUUGUCAGCCUUAGCAGCUUCCUUUAGUAACUGCUCUUU